UGUUUUCACUCCUAAAUCAUAAUAUGUAAUAUCAACUCAUAAGUUUGAAUAGUUUCUCCUUUCAUAUCAACUACACAUAAGACACACUUUUUGAGGUCUUUCGGGUUGUAACGGGGCUUGGGUUAUGGUGUGGAUAUUCCAAAUAAAACGGGAAACAAAUGGUUUUUGGUUCAGAGUCAAUGUUACUAUUAUUUUCACUGUGUUUGUUC
RNAcentral lists this long non-coding RNA (209 nucleotides) under Lathyrus oleraceus (garden pea). Its description in RNAcentral is "Pisum sativum (pea) long non-coding RNA (PSAT_LNC006756)". The record is from RNAcentral. Lineage: Eukaryota; Viridiplantae; Streptophyta; Magnoliopsida; Fabales; Fabaceae.